RNAcentral lists this ribosomal RNA (253 nucleotides) under uncultured bacterium. RNAcentral's name for it is "partial 16S ribosomal RNA". It matches the Rfam family "Bacterial small subunit ribosomal RNA", at positions 524 to 776 of the family's 1533-position model. The record is from RNAcentral.
UACGAAGGGGGCUAGCGUUGCUCGGAAUCACUGGGCGUAAAGCGCACGUAGGCGGCUUUUUAAGUCAGAGGUGAAAUCCUGGAGCUCAACUCCAGAACUGCCUUUGAUACUGAGGAUCUUGAGUUCGGGAGAGGUGAGUGGAACUGCGAGUGUAGAGGUGAAAUUCGUAGAUAUUGGGAAGAACACCGGUGGCGAAGGCGGCUCACUGGCUCAUUUCUGACGCUCAGGCGCGACAGCGUGGGGAUCAAACAGG